UACGGAGGGAGCUAGCGUUGUUCGGAAUUACUGGGCGUAAAGCGCACGUAGGCGGACUACUAAGUCAGGGGUGAAAUCCCGGGGCUCAACCCCGGAACUGCCUUUGAUACUGGUAGUCUCGAGUCCGGAAGAGGUGAGUGGAAUUCCGAGUGUAGAGGUGAAAUUCGUAGAUAUUCGGAGGAACACCAGUGGCGAAGGCGGCUCACUGGUCCGGUACUGACGCUGAGGUGCGAAAGCGUGGGGAGCAAACAGG
This 253-nucleotide ribosomal RNA is filed under the name uncultured bacterium. RNAcentral's name for it is "partial 16S ribosomal RNA". It matches the Rfam family "Bacterial small subunit ribosomal RNA", at positions 524 to 776 of the family's 1533-position model. The record is from RNAcentral.